UGACCGCUGGCUACAGGCUUAACACAUGCAAGUCGAGGGGAAACGACGGGGAAGCUUGCUUCCCCGGGCGUCGACCGGCGCACGGGUGAGUAACGCGUAUCCAACCUGCCUCUGACUGAGGGAUAACCCGUCGAAAGUCGGCCUAAUACCUCAUGGCAUCGUCUGCGGGCAUCCAACGACGAUUAAAGAUUUCAUCGGUCAGAGAUGGGGAUGCGUCUGAUUAGCUUGUUGGCGGGGUAACGGCCCACCAAGGCGACGAUCAGUAGGGGUUCUGAGAGGAAGGUCCCCCACAUUGGAACUGAGACACGGUCCAAACUCCUACGGGAGGCAGCAGUGAGGAAUAUUGGUCAAUGGGUGAGAGCCUGAACCAGCCAAGUAGCGUGCAGGAUGACGGCCCUAUGGGUUGUAAACUGCUUUUAUGCGGGGAUAAAGUGAGGGACGUGUCCUUCAUUGCAGGUACCGCAUGAAUAAGGACCGGCUAAUUCCGUG
RNAcentral lists this ribosomal RNA (489 nucleotides) under uncultured bacterium. RNAcentral's name for it is "partial 16S ribosomal RNA". It matches the Rfam family "Bacterial small subunit ribosomal RNA", at positions 30 to 507 of the family's 1533-position model. The record is from RNAcentral.